RNAcentral lists this ribosomal RNA (253 nucleotides) under uncultured bacterium. Its description in RNAcentral is "partial 16S ribosomal RNA". It matches the Rfam family "Bacterial small subunit ribosomal RNA", at positions 524 to 776 of the family's 1533-position model. The record is from RNAcentral.
UACGUAGGGUGCGAGCGUUAAUCGGAAUUACUGGGCGUAAAGCGUGCGCAGGCGGCUAUUUAAGCUUGCUGUGAAAGCCCCGGGCUUAACCUGGGAACUGCAGUGAGGACUGGAUGGCUGGAGUGUGGCAGAGGGGGGUGGAAUUCCACGUGUAGCAGUGAAAUGCGUAGAGAUGUGGAGGAACACCGAUGGCGAAGGCAGCCCCCUGGGCUAACACUGACGCUCAGGCACGAAAGCGUGGGGAUCAAACAGG